This 459-nucleotide ribosomal RNA is filed under the name uncultured bacterium. Its description in RNAcentral is "partial 16S ribosomal RNA". It matches the Rfam family "Bacterial small subunit ribosomal RNA", at positions 338 to 795 of the family's 1533-position model. The record is from RNAcentral.
CCUACGGGGUGCUGCAGUGAGGAAUAUUGGUCAAUGGACGAGAGUCUGAACCAGCCAAGUAGCGUGAAGGAUGACUGCCCUAUGGGUUGUAAACUUCUUUUAUAUGGGAAUAAAACGUUCCACGUGUGGGAUUUUGUAUGUACCAUAUGAAUAAGGAUCGGCUAACUCCGUGCCAGCAGCCGCGGUAAUACGGAGGAUCCGAGCGUUAUCCGGAUUUAUUGGGUUUAAAGGGAGCGUAGGUGGAUUGUUAAGUCAGUUGUGAAAGUUUGCGGCUCAACCGUAAAAUUGCAGUUGAAACUGGCAGUCUUGAGUACAGUAGAGGUGGGCGGAAUUCGUGGUGUAGCGGUGAAAUGCUUAGAUAUCACGAAGAACUCCGAUUGCGAAGGCAGUUCACUGGACUGCAACUGACACUGAGGCUCGAAAGUGUGGGUAUCAAACAGGAUUAGAUACCCUGGUAUC